This is a long non-coding RNA of Esox lucius (northern pike), 742 nucleotides long. Lineage: Eukaryota; Metazoa; Chordata; Actinopteri; Esociformes; Esocidae. The record is from Ensembl.
GAGAUCUACCCCACAAAGCUCUUUGGACCAUCUAAUGUGACUGAAGGGACCACAAUACAUUUCAAGUGUCAAACUAAUAACAUCACUAUAAGCGGGGACAUGGUUCAUUUUUACCUUUGUAAGGAUGGAGUUGGGAUACAAAUGACACCUCUAAAGAAAGAUGCUGAAUCUGUUUUCUUGCUGAAAGAAGUUAAAAAACAAGACUCGGGCAAGUACAGCUGUGUGUACAGCAAAUGUAAACUCCCAGCCAGUCAAGUGAAGUCAACAGGGGAUUAUCUGGUUUUACGGGUCAAUGGAUAUGAAGAUGUGAAAGAGGCUGCGAAUGAUGUGCUACUGAUCAAUUUAAUCCGAAUAAUGAGUUCCGCUGUUGUGGUCAUACUGCUUCUGAUUGUAGUGGUUGUCGGCUCCUGUUGUUCCAAAACAGACAGGAGAGCCAAGCAGCCAUUACCCAACGGAGAUCUAUGAGAACAUUGCAAGAACACGAACAAUGCUGUCAAAAAUGUCCGCUAGGUUACUCAUCAACGCUCACAUCUCAUCCCAUCUGGACUACUGCAAGGCCUUUUUUUUGGCACAUCUGCCUAUUGCCUAAAAAGGCUACAAUAUGUCCAGGACUGUGCUGAAUGUGACCUCACAUACAACUUCCUGCAUGAGGUCAUUCUUUUGUUCAACCUCCAGGAGAUCCACAUUGACUCACAUUUCCUUGUUCACACCAACCAGACUAUCCACAACUCUGAAAACUUUC